GACGAACGCUGGCGGCGUGCUUAACACAUGCAAGUCGAACGCUGAAGCCCUUCGGGGUGGAUGAGUGGCGAACGGGUGAGUAACACGUGGGUAAUCUGCCCUGCACUCUGGGAUAAGCCUUGGAAACGGGGUCUAAUACCGGAUAGGACACAUCGCCGCAUGGUGGGUGUGUGGAAAGUUCCGGCGGUGCAGGUUGAGCCCGCGGCCUAUCAGCUUGUUGGUGGGGGGAAGGCCCACCAAGGGGACGACGGGGAGCCGGCCUGGGGAGGGGGACGGCCACACGGGGAACGGGAAACCGGCCGGAAUCCUAAGGGAGGGAACAAGGGGGAAUCCUGGGGAAUGGGCGGAAGCCUGACGCAGCAACGCCGCGUGGGGGAUGACGGCCUUCGGGUUGUAAACCUCUUUCGACCGGGACGAAGGAUUCGUUUGACGGUACCGGUAGAAGAAGCACCGGCUAACUACGUGCCAGCAGCCGCAGUAA
RNAcentral lists this ribosomal RNA (481 nucleotides) under uncultured bacterium. RNAcentral's name for it is "partial 16S ribosomal RNA". It matches the Rfam family "Bacterial small subunit ribosomal RNA", at positions 28 to 523 of the family's 1533-position model. The record is from RNAcentral.